RNAcentral lists this non-coding RNA (69 nucleotides) under Streptococcus pyogenes. Lineage: Bacteria; Bacillati; Bacillota; Bacilli; Lactobacillales; Streptococcaceae. The record is from RNAcentral.
UUUAACCUGGUGAUGACAUCGCUAGGUUAAAAGGACAGGGGCGAAUAGAAGGAUUAUUUUUUUGAAUUG